UGAGUAUGGGCUGAGGCGAGAAUAA
Molecule: non-coding RNA, 25 nt
Filed under: Rattus norvegicus (Norway rat)
Lineage: Eukaryota; Metazoa; Chordata; Mammalia; Rodentia; Muridae
Source: RNAcentral